RNAcentral lists this transfer RNA (73 nucleotides) under Bos taurus (domestic cattle). It matches the Rfam family "tRNA". Rfam says of the family: Transfer RNA (tRNA) molecules are approximately 80 nucleotides in length. Their secondary structure includes four short double-helical elements and three loops (D, anti-codon, and T loops). Lineage: Eukaryota; Metazoa; Chordata; Mammalia; Artiodactyla; Bovidae. RNAcentral also lists the same sequence under 2 other names. The record is from Rfam by way of RNAcentral.
UCCCUGGUGGUCCAUUGGCUAAGGCUCCUGCUUCCAAUGCAGGGGGAUCUGGGUUCAAUCCCUGGUCUGGGAG